AACGAACGCUGGCGGCAUGCCUAACACAUGCAAGUCGAACGAGACCUUCGGGUCUAGUGGCGCACGGGUGCGUAACGCGUGGGAACCUGCCUUUAGGUUCGGAAUAACUCAGAGAAAUUUGAGCUAAUACCGGAUGAUGUCUUCGGACCAAAGAUUUAUCGCCUUUAGAUGGGCCCGCGUUGGAUUAGCUAGUUGGUGGGGUAAAGGCCUACCAAGGCGACGAUCCAUAGCUGGUCUGAGAGGAUGAUCAGCCACACUGGGACUGAGACACGGCCCAGACUCCUACGGGAGGCAGCAGUGGGGAAUAUUGGACAAUGGGCGAAAGCCUGAUCCAGCAAUGCCGCGGGAGUGAUGAAGGCCUUAGGGUUGUAAAGCUCUUUUACCCGAGAUGAUAAUGACAGUAUCGGGAGAAUAAGCUCCGGCUAACUCCGU
Molecule: ribosomal RNA, 432 nt
Filed under: uncultured bacterium
Lineage: Bacteria
Description: partial 16S ribosomal RNA
Rfam family: Bacterial small subunit ribosomal RNA
Source: RNAcentral